RNAcentral lists this ribosomal RNA (399 nucleotides) under Triticum aestivum (bread wheat). RNAcentral's name for it is "partial small subunit ribosomal RNA". Lineage: Eukaryota; Viridiplantae; Streptophyta; Magnoliopsida; Poales; Poaceae. The record is from RNAcentral.
AUGCAUACACACCUGGAGCGACGAAGCUGGCCGUCCAAUCGAGUGUGUUCGCUUUGCCUGUCUGCGCCAGAGGACUGCACUCACCUUUUUGUCCACUGCCCAUAUACCCAACAGGUUUGGUUGCUCUUUAAAACAUGGACGAAUGCAGAUUUCAUUACCCCCAGUGUUUCUUUCACUUCCACGGAAGACUGGUGGCUUCGGGCUAGGGCGGCUAUUCCGAAGGCAGUCAGGAGGAAUUUUGACACGGUAAUCAUCAUGCUGCACUGGAGGGUGUGGAAAGAGCGAAACGCCAGGAUAUUUGAUCAUGCUUCCAACCCACCUGACUGGGUUCUGGACCGGAUCAAGGAAGACGUAGCCAUGUGGAGAGCCGCGGGAUGCAUUGCUGAUCUCCCGGCUUAG